RNAcentral lists this ribosomal RNA (258 nucleotides) under uncultured bacterium. RNAcentral describes it as "partial 16S ribosomal RNA". It matches the Rfam family "Bacterial small subunit ribosomal RNA", at positions 793 to 1055 of the family's 1533-position model. The record is from RNAcentral.
GUCCACGCCGUAAACGAUGAUCACUCGCUGUUGGCGAUACACUGUCAGCGGCCAAGCGAAAGCUUUAAGUGAUCCACCUGGGGAGUACGAUCGCAAGGUUGAAACUCAAAGGAAUUGACGGGGGCCCGCACAAGCGGUGGAGCAUGUGGUUUAAUUCGAUGAUACGCGAGGAACCUUACCAGGGCUUGAAAGUUAGCGACCGGUGCCGAAAGGUACCUUCCCUUCGGGGCGCGAAACUAGGUGCUGCAUGGCCGUCGU